This 73-nucleotide transfer RNA is filed under the name Paracoccaceae bacterium Fryx2. RNAcentral's name for it is "tRNA-Met". The record is from RNAcentral. Lineage: Bacteria; Pseudomonadati; Pseudomonadota; Alphaproteobacteria; Rhodobacterales; Paracoccaceae.
UGUUGGGUUAUUGAAAUUCUUGAAUUAUAGGCUCAUAACCUGAAGGUCACAGGUUCAAAUCCUGUCCCCGCAU